This 484-nucleotide ribosomal RNA is filed under the name uncultured bacterium. RNAcentral's name for it is "partial 16S ribosomal RNA". It matches the Rfam family "Bacterial small subunit ribosomal RNA", at positions 30 to 507 of the family's 1533-position model. The record is from RNAcentral.
AUUGAACGCUGGCGGCAGGCCUAACACAUGCAAGUCGAGCGGAUGAAGGGAGCUUGCUCCUGGAUUCAGCGGCGGACGGGGGAGUAAUGCCUAGGAAUCUGCCUGGCAGGGGGGGAUAACGUCCGGAAACGGGCGCUAAUACCGCAUACGACCUGAGGGAGAAAGUGGGGGAGCUUCGGACCUCACGCUAUCAGAUGAGCCUAGGUCGGAUUAGCUAGUUGGUGGGCUAAGGGCCUACCAAGGCGACGAUCCGUAACUGGUCUGAGAGGGUGAUCACUCACACUAGAGCGGGGACACGGUCCAGACUCCUACGGUAGGCAGCAGUGGGGAAUAUGGGACAAUGGGCGAAAGCCUUAUCCAGCCAUGCCGCGUGUGUGAAGAAGGUCUUCGGAUUGUAAAGCACUUUAAGUUGGGAGAAAGGGCAGUAAGUUAAUACCUUGCUGUUUUGACGUUACCAACAGAAUAAGCACCGGCUAACUUCGUG